Non-coding RNA from Peromyscus maniculatus bairdii (prairie deer mouse), 10527 nucleotides. The record is from RefSeq and is a predicted model, not a curated record. Lineage: Eukaryota; Metazoa; Chordata; Mammalia; Rodentia; Cricetidae.
CUCUGGCAUGGUGUAGCGGGACAGCUGGUGUUGUGAAUCAGGCCGUUGCCAAUCAGAGAACGGCUACUUCACAACACCAGGGUCACACUGCACUACAGGCAUCGAGCAUCCGGACACUUGAGCACCUGGACACAGCCUGUAAGACGACCUCCCCACUCCCGGGUCAUUCCAGGACUCCUCCAGCUGGCUCCAGCCCCACGUGGUGACUCUCCAACUCCUGCUCCGAAGGGGCAGCGGAAGCUGCUGUUUAUUGCAACACAAAUAGCUCAACUUCAGAAGAGCACACCACUCCAGGCAGCAUUAGCUUCCCACAAAGGCAGCCACGCAGACAGGUCUCCCAGGCCCUUAGAAAGGCUGAGCACUCUCAACUGAAUGUCUCCUCAGAGAGGCUGGAAACACGUGGAGACAAUAGAACCAGGUCCUUUUUGUCCUUUUUUGUUUUCUUUCUUUUUUAUUUUUCUGUUACUCCUUUUUAAAAAUUGUGUAUGUGUAGGUGUGAGUGUGUGUGUGAGUGUGUGUGUGUGAGCCAAAGGUAUCUUCCUCAAUUGCUCUUUUUAAAAUGUUAUUAUUUAUUUGUGUGUAUGUGCCUAUGUGAGUUUAUGUGUACUACAUGUGUGCGAGUGAGCAGGAAGUCUAGAAGAUGAUGUCAAAUCUCCUGAAACUAGAGCUAUAGGGGGUUAUGAGCAGCCAUGUGGGUUCUGGAAACUGAACACAGUCCUGUGCAAGAGCAUCAAGCAUUCUUAAACCCCAGAUGGUUAACUCCACAGCUCCAUUUUAUUUGUUUGUUUGUUUAUUUAUUUUUGUGUGUGUGUGUGUGUGUGUGUGUGCUCACACAUGUACAUGUUGAUGCUAUAACAUGCACAUGCAAAGCAGUGGUUCUCAACCUGUGGGUCUCAACCCUUUCUGGGGAUCAAACUACCUUUUCACAGGAGCCUUCUAAGACCAUUGGGAACAACACCAAUAUUUACAUUACAAUUCAUAACAGAGGAAAAUUACAGUUAUGAAGUAGUUACGAAAUGAUUUUAUAGUUAGGGAUCACCACAGCAUGAGGAACUGUGUUCAAGGUUCACAACACUAGGAAGGUUGAGAACCACUGAUGUAGAGGUCAGAGGACAACUUUCAAGAGUUGGUUCUCCCCUUCUGUCACAUGGGGCCCAGGCUUGGCAGCAAGUAACUUCACCUGCUGAGCGAUCUCACCAGUCCUCCACUUUUUCUUGGCAGAGUCUCUUACUGAGCCUGGAGCUCACAAAUUCAGCUAGAUUGGCUGGUCACCAAGCCCUGGGGAUCCUCUCAACUCUGCCUCCCCAGAAAUGGCAUCACUGGAGUGUGUCCAGUGGGUACUGGGGACCUAAUGCUGGUCCUCGUGCCAGCAAGCACUUGACCAACUGAGCCGUCUCCCCAGCCCUUGGUUUUGAUAUUGGCAGUGGAGGAGGGAGAACCUGGUUAAGGGGUGACUUCACUGUAACCUUCAAAGGGCUCCCCUACAGGGGCAGCCUGUGUUUCGUCCCAAAUGGUCCCAGAUUCCCUAAGCAGCUGACUCCAUCCUUUGAGAUUUCCACAGCUCUGCCCACAGUUGCUAGAGACACAAAGACCAACAAGGGCCAAGCACUAGGCGUCGAGGGGCACUGAGGUGUCUAAGGCUCCACUUACUUAUUUUGGCAAGCGGUUUCCUAGCCCCACCCUUUAGACUUGAAGACCUAAGGUCUCCCAAAUUUGAGUAUUUUGUGCCUAAUAAAUCUUACUUGUGACACUGUUUUUCAGAGCCCAGGCAGACUCUAAAGAGCUGUAUGGCAUCCUUUCUGAAGUACCAAGGGAAAGGCUUUUGCUGAGGUUCCAUGGGGAGCAGAAGUGGACAAGACCAAGCAGAAGUGGACAAGACCAGUGCAAAUACUGCCCAGCAUGAAGGUCACCCAGACAGAUCCUGGGCCACUGCUGUCUCUGUCACCUUCGAGUCUGGAAGAAGAGCCUCUUGCUUCCUAUAGUCUCCUGUUCCUCACCCCAUUCCUGAGCCCCUAAGGGUAGAUGUAGCAUUUGUACUAAAUUAUGUUUGCUUUCUGUGUGAAAGGAGCCCAGUUCUCAGAAAGACUUUCCUACCAUCUCCUUAGAAUACACCAACUAUCUGCUCCUGACUCCUGACACCACAAGGCUGAGACCAGCACCAUUCAUGGCUCGGCCUCUGGGCACAGCUUCAGUAUGGGGCACACAUGGAUCCUUGGCCCCAUGCCACAUCAGACUCACAGGGAUAGUCUGUCCAGGGUUCCUUCACUGCUUGUCUCUGUGGCCUCCCUACAUCCUCUCCAACAUCUGUUCCAAACCUAUAUUUUCUGAAUGCUCAAAUCAUCUUCUCAAGACUACACCUUAAGACCUGCAGUUCCUCCACAGGCUUAGAGCUAUCUGCAAGGACUUGGCAUCACCCUCCCCCAUAGAAGGACUGGUGAGGGGUUCAGAUCCUGACUUCCACUUCCAAUUCCCUCCCUUUCCAUCCAUCUCCUCUUUUUCCAAAUACCUCCCGCCUUCUCCACACCCAGGCCUUUGUUAGGAUACUCCCAGCCCAUCCUCCUGUGAUUGACACCUGAUUGAUGGUUUAUAUAUUUCAGAGAGAUCUAAUUCCCCAGUUGAGAAGGACAGGUAGCUACCAGUCCAUGGACAUGGCAAGAUGUAAUUCCUGUCCUUUGGAGCAUUCAUCACCCCGACCCACACCAUUGCCCUUCUGCAUUCCACUUCAGGAUGUGUCUUUGCCUGGAGUGGGCCCAGCUCACUGAGAACUGAGAACAGUAAUGCCUGCUAAAUGUACGGGUGAGUGUGCCCAGGCUGUGAGCGUCCUCCAAGGCCCUCUCGUUUUUUGUUGAGUCCUGCAUCGUUUAUUUCCUUUUGGCAAUGUUGCACCAUUAGCCACUUGUAGAGUGGAUCUUCUGCCAGGUGCUGCCUUGAGCAUUUGACCAAAUCAGCCUCAGUUUUUCCUAUCAGCUGGGUCAUGGAACAACCCUUACAGAAAGUGCCAAGGAGAUACCAUCCAUACCACUGGUCACCAGUGACCCUGCUGUUCAAACCUAGGCCCUGAAGUCUGUGCCCUGAGCCACUGUGCCAUGAUGCUGAGGAGCGGUCACUCCUAGGGACCUAGCAAAGUCCUCUUUAUUCUCAGAAUCUUCCACCUUGGGGUCUUUAACCAGGUACCCCGCCCCACUAAUAAACAUUUGUAAGAGGUUUUAACCUUGUUUGAAAGGCUUCAGAAUGGGACCUGACUUAAAACCUUAUAAAAUAUAAAUGGGGUCACACCCAGAGAAAACGAGGGAAUCAUAUAAGACCCAGAAGAAAGUGGAUUUUAAUUUGGCGUGAUACCAGUAAGUUCUUCUGAGGUUUAUGUGUGACCUUCAAAUACCAAAGCUGCAAAUUCAGAUGAGGGCCCCCUCAGAACUCAGUGUUUGGGAGAACACAACUUUGGGCUUUCUUCUCAGUCCUUAACCCCACCAGGGCACCACUCCAAGCCACACAGGUCUACUCACAGUGUGGCUUUUAUUCUAAUGCGCAUUCUGUCUCACUGAGAACAGCAACUGCAGCCCCAGAACAUUCCAGACCAUCCACUUAGGUGGACUUGAUGAUACCUAUCAGAAGGGAGCAAGACCAUACAGCCACUGUUUUCUGUAGCCUUCUCAGCAGCCAUUCAUUGGAAGUUUAGAAUCUCUGCAUUGCACGUUCUGUGAGGCUGACAUUUGCAGCAAGCCACAUUGCAAACAGCAGAGUCUCUAACAUGGCCCAAUGCAGACCACAAAAAGCUGUGGACACAGUGGGCUUGUCACACACACACACACACACACACACACACACACACACACACACACACACACACACUUUGACACCCAGUGUCUUGACCUUUCAGACUGGCUACCACCUGCUAGCCAUGGCCAGUACUUUUGGGAAAAGCUGGAUUCAGAAAGGACAUUUUCUUGUAAUACUGAAUACCAAGUAGAACAGUGUUUUUCAAAUUGUGUUUCUGGGACUGGCAACCUUAUCAGCACCCUUGGGAACUUACUGGGUGAGCAACUCACCAGCCCUACCCUGGCUGUGCUGAAUGUUGGCCAGCACUCCAAAGAGUUCCAAAUCAUACUGAUGGCAAGAAGAAGAAAAAUCUAGGCACGAUGGUGCACACCUUUAACACAUCCACACAAAAUCACCAAACCCAGCCAGCGAGAACCUGUUGGGAAGGAGGGAGGAAAUAAAAUGACUUCAGCAGCAUGUGACAGUGAAGCCUCCCAGGCCACCAUCCUCGGCAGUGUGAGAUGCUUAUGGUUUUCACCGAAUAUUGAAUAACAGUUUAAAACCCAUUUUUCCAAAUCUUAGGAGCAAAUCUCCAGGUGCCCUGGGCUAUGGAGUCCUGACCUCUCCUAUGUUCUGAAUAAAUCUGUCCAGGGCAUGUUUGAUCCCUGCCCCAGGGAGGCCGCAGGUACCAAUGCAAAGCCUUAUCAUCUCUUCUCAUCCGGCACAUUGCAAAGGUUUCACAUUCUCCACUCUGGGCUUGAGGCAACCUCAUUCUAAGAAGAGGAUCUUGAGAGGUUUACUAACCUCCCCCAGGUGGAAGUGGCUGCCUACCCUUGCAAUCAUGAACCUGCUGUCUCCAGUGCUUCGCUUGGCCCUGCCUUUCAUUUGGCCCCUCUUUCAUGAACAAAUAGGAAGCAGAGAAGCCAGAAUGUCCAGUGUAGAGCACCUGUGCCGGUGGGAUCAGAGAAAAACCACUUAUGAUCGGCCCCUAACAGAAAAUCCUGACCUGAAGACUAGAGACUGGGUGGUGACUGCAAUUGAAUGUGAACAUCUUGUGCCUCUUUGACCUCGGAAUGAGUUUCUGUUAUCAUCCUUGUUAUCUCGGUGGUAGUUAUCAAUAGCCUUUAUGCUCACCUUGUGGAUGAUCUCAUACAUACAACAGAUAAACUGGAGGCAAAGAUCUUUCCAGCCCUAAUCCACAGCAUCUCAGUAGGUACUGACCCAGGCAAGUGUCCCUAAGAAAAGCACAGUAAUUUAGAUCAAGAGUUCUGACCUUUUCUAUCAUGUGCACUGUGGUGAGACCAGGAGGAAGCUGUGUCCCACUUCCCAUCACAACCCAGGAAACUUCACACACUGUUAACGAGGGAAGAGCACAUGGGCCUUGAGGACAGAGCUGAAGUCUGAGGUCUUCAUCAUAAUUCGGAUUUUCAGAGGAAAACUAAUCUGACCCGCUGUUCCCUCUAUCCCCUAAACAAAAACUCCUGAAGGAGUGUCACACAGAGCUUGAAAUGCUAUUUUUAAAGACAUCAGCAUGAAAGGGCUGGGAGAGCACUAAGUGGAAAAGCACUUGAUGUGCAGGCAUGCAGACCUGAGUUUGGUUCCCCAGCACCACACAGAAAAGGCGGUCGGAGCAUCAUGUACUUGUAAUCCCAGCAGCUGAGAGGGGAGACAGGUGGAUCUCUGGAGCUUGCAAAGCGGCCAAUUGAGUAGCAACAUCUUAUAGCCAAGGAAGUGGAUCAGGAUAGCUAAGGAACCUGCUCUGGGCCACACAGCUUGGCCCUUUGUUUCCAGAACCAAAGCUUCUUAUGAUCCAGGACAAAGGCAGUGGCCCCAGUACCCUGGUAAUAUUUACCAUGUGCUAGACAUUUGUACUGUUCCAGACCCCAGAGCACCCUGGGAAGGGAAGCAGCAUUCUUCCAGUGUUUAUGUAAGGACGAGGGUCAGGACAAUGAAAACACUUGCUCAGGGUCCCAUAGUUUGGCAGUUGAUUAUCAUGCCCCAAGGAGGUAUGCUGCUUGCCUGCCUAAAGGACAUUCUGCACACACUUUGUGAUCAGCUCCUGCCACUCACCCCAGGCUAUGUAGAAGUGACUAAUUUCAAAGGUUCCUAACUGUCUCCAACUGGGGCUUGGGGACAGCAUGCUGAAAGUGAGAAAAAAAUAAAAAUUAAAGCAACCAUCAAUCAUGCCUUGUUGGAGCAGAGGCUACGUGGGCCCACAGUAGUCACCUGUGAUCUCAUUUCCUCCCACAGGACCAUGAGUCCCCAAGAGCAGAAUUCACUGUUACUUUGUUGGGUGCACCCAAAGCCAACACAGUAGAGCUUAGUACACGGUUGGUAUUUGGUGCAAGGCUGUUCUAUGAACAAUCAUGGGUUCCUCUGCUGUCCAUGCUGGAAUGCCGAAAGCCCCCCCAGUGUCCCAGUAUGCCAUAGCUAGCUUAUUCUCAUGGAAGACUCAUAGACUGUCUUCAUAUGUUAGCACUAUCUCAUAAUCUGGGCACUAAAGCCUUCAGAGAGGCCUCUAGCAGUGACUCUGUGGCUGUCACAGACAGGCUUGGUAAUUAGUUGCAUCUUGCUGAACUUAUUAAAGACAGGAAGCAGCUUCCCUGCUACCUUUUAUGAGCCUUGAAAGCCAGUCAGGCUCCUCUGUUACACUCACAUGGUACCACACCCUUCAACAGGGUGCACAGCCAUCAUGGUGUGAAAUAAGCCUCUGGACCCCAGAGUGUGGGCCUCUUCUGUCCCCCAUCACCUGGCAUAUAGCAUUUACAGGACAUGUGACUUGCCAUCUCAUAUGGUGUCUGCUGGGUUUAGCAUGUGGAGUGCUUGUGUUCCUCAGUACAUAAAACAUGGGCACUGACCAUAGUCAAGUGGAUGGUACUGCCAGCGUGGGGAAAAUACCUCUCUCCAUGCAGGCACUGUGAAAGUGGAAUGGUGUGAUCUAGGACCUAGAGGGGAGGUCUCAACAUUGUCACUUGGAGCCAAAAUCUUAAAUAACAGCUAACCCAGCUAUUCCAUCUGAAUUGUUAACUGGAUGAAGAAGCCAGAAAUCGAUGAGUUUGGUGCAAAAUUUCAGGGAUAUUAUCAAAAGCUUUGACCCUGUCCCUCUGUGCUACCACCCUCCUGUGAUCACAGAAAGGAUGCUGGCCUUCUAGUCAGCACCUCCAUAUUUCAAGAGGAAUAAAGGCGAGUUGGAGGGGCCAGUAAUAAGCCCUCCUUUCACCAAAUGAUGCCACCUUCCCAGGAACAUUCCAACCCAGCAGACUUGGAAAUCCCGGGCAGAACUCCAUCCCUGGGCCCCAGAACUAGGAACAUUGGGGAAAGUUGAGAUGCCACUAUAAGGAGUAAAAAGCUAAAGCAGCAAUCCCUGACACCCUCAUUGCUGCCAACCAGCAGCAUCUGCGAGAAUGCACAACUGAUUUUAACAUAGCGACUAUUUUGUGGGACGUCUUAUAAAAGGAACGGGUAAAAUGUACAGGUCUGGAGAGACAGCUCAGUGCACUUGUUGUCCUGUCAAGGGACCCAGGUUUGAUUCUCGGCACCCAGGAGGCAUCUUAAAACCAUCUGAGUCUGGCUCUAGGGGAUAUGACACCCUCUUCUGGCUUCCAUGGGUACUGCAUGCAUGUGGUACAAAUACAUACAUGCAGACAAACACUCCUACAUUCAAAAUAAAAAUAAAUAGAUUUUUAACUGCCAGGCUGGCAUGCCUGGGCCAGGAGGCAGUGGGGGGAGGGGGAGCGUGAAGAAGAUCUAAAGUCUCCACACUCCUUCACAAUUAAGCACUGAUUUCUCCUGGCUUAUUCAUCUGACUCUUCAUGCUUAACAGGGAUAGGACCACAUGGUAGAGUGCUCUGAAAUUAGACUUUUCUGGUAGUGUGAAAAAAAAAAAAUCCAGCUCAUGAAAUGUUCUUUGCAGAACUGUGCUUUGUGGCUGCACACGCCCUUGAAUAAGGUGUUGUUUGCCAGGUCCCUUGGUAUUAAUCGUUCUGAUAUUAAUAAAGAAAAAAUGGGAGAAGUUGACCCACGUCAACUUACAGCUAAAUCUUGGGUCCAGUAACUCCCUUCUGAGGCUAUGGCAAAGAGACUUCCGAAAGGGUCUGAAUAUGAGCCAAGUUGCCUUCCUUGUGGAGGGCUCAGUUACCUGCCCACUAACAGAUACGGAUGCCCAUUCUCCCAAAGUUUUCACCAACCUGAGAAGUGGGUCACAGGGGAGCAGAUCCAUCUGCUGACAAUUUAACCUAGCUGAUUGCCCUGCUGAGGUCUGAAGGAAGCACUUGCACAGGCCUGUGGCAAGGCUAGCCCUGGAGCCUAGGCCUCAGAACCAGAGGUUAGCCCCAGGAUCUCAGGCUUGGAGGCAUGGUGGCCAUGGAGUAGGCCAUGGGUCUCAAAGGUCCCUGGUGUGUUAGGCACCCUGGGCAUACAGCUUUGAUUCCAACUCAACAUAAUGUUGCCACUUUAGCUGUGUGGCCUCUGGCUUCUCAGCAAGCUGUUUUCUAGUACCAGUAGACAGAAGUUGAGCAUAAGGAUUUCUCUUCUUUCCAACUGUUGACUGAAUUGUGUCCCCCUAAGAGUAUAUGAUGAAGCUCUGAGCCCUUGAAUAGGACCUUUAAAGAAGUAAUUUAAUACUAAAUUAGGUCAUAAGGGUAGGGCCUUAAUCCAAUACAACCAGUGACCUCUAUAUAAAUGGAGAGUCGAGUAAAAGCUUUAUAAGGACACAGCAGGAGUGUGCCAGUCUACAAGAAGGAGAGGCCCUGGGAGAGAGCAAACCCACAGAAGCACCUAAGAAAUACCUGCUGCUUUCGCUAACCUGUUGGUGGGUUGUGUUAUGAAAGCCCUGGGCCAUGGGGUACUCAUAGGUGCUACUUCUCCCAAAACCUGAGUCAUACCACACACCCUGAAACUGAAGUCAGAUUCUUUCCAUAAAUCUCAAAUGCACACAUGGCAUGGGCAAUGGAUACCCUGCCAUCAUCCCAGCCACCUCUGAGUUCCUGAGACAUGUGCCACAGUCUCAUCCCAGCCUUCCUAAGCCCUAUGCCUGUACCCAAGAGCCAGCGCAGCUUGGGGGCAAGCCCUGUCAUCCAGGAAGUGCCUGGGAGCUAAUGCCUCUCUCCUUCACCCUCUCCUACAACCCCAGCCACCUUCCACCACGGAGGAGGGGGUGGCAGUCACCCCAUACUCAGCACAGCUCCCGGGCUUUCUCCUGCAGAUGGAGUCUCAUUGCCCAUGAUGCCCCUGAAAGGUUCAUCCAUUCCUUGCUUACCCCAGACUUGUGAUUCCCGGAUUGUUCUCUCAGAUAAACUGCGGUCUCAGAGUCUGCUUUGAGGGAUCCAAACAGGAGACAGUUGUGUAGUUUCCUGGUUUGGUUUGUUGCUUUUUCCCAUUGUGCUUUAUUUUACAUUUAUUUAUUUGUGGGGUGAGCACAGGCCAGGACACAUUUGUGGAGGUCAGAGGACACUCACAGAAGCUGGUUCUCUCCUUCCACCAUGUGGAUCCCAGGAUCCAACUCAAGCUGCCAGGCUUAGUGCCAAGCACCUUUGCCAGCUGACCCAUCUCGCUGGCCCUCCCACCCCCUUUUGCUUUUGUUGGCUUUUUUUUUUAAUAGAUUUGGGUUUGGGGGGGUUGUUUUGGUUUGGUUUGGUUUUUGUUUCUUUUUUUCUUUUUCUUUUUUUUUUUUUUAAGAGAAGUUUGGGGCUGACAGCAAAACUGGGUGAAAGGAGCAGAAAUUUACUCACACUCAAUGCCUCCACUAUUGUCAGUAUCUCCGACCAGAGUGACACAUUUAUUAUAACUGAUGAGCCUACACAGAUACAUCAUUAUUGCCCAGAGUCGGUAGUUCACAUCAGAAUUCACUCAAUGUGUGACACACUCUUCAGUGUGUCAGUGUCAGCAGCAGCACUGCCCUUGGAGGCUCCCAUCUUUACACCUCUCUCCCUCUCUUUCUCUCUCUCUCUCCCUCUCUUUCUCUCCCUCCCCUCCCUCCCUUUCUCUCUCUCUCUCUCUCCCUCCCCCUCCCUCCCCCUCCCUCUCCCUCUCUUCCCAACACACCUAGCAACCACUCCUUCACUGCUUUGGUUGUCCUUUCCCAGAGGGACUGUAUGGUUGGAACUGUGUAUAAUGAUGUCCUUUUAGAUCAGUUUUUUGUUCAUUUUAUAAUAUUGAAUCCAUGAUUCACCUGCCUCCGCCUCCUAAGUGACAGCAUUACAAGUGAGUGCCCCAAGCCCAGCUUUAAACACCUACAAAAACAGAAAACACCUGUUUGGGUUACCCUUCCCCAGUUGCUGUGAUGGGGAGCAGCUGACCCGAGUGCACCAAUAGGCUCUCACCAGACUCGGCUGACAUCACAUUUAAACAUUGUUUCAGAUCCCUCCAGAUUUUCAGAUCAGGCUCCUCUUCCCAACACAGUGCCCUGAUCUGUGGGGAGUCCACUGUGUUUCAGCUUGGCAGGGAGGCCCUAGCAGGUGAUAUGGCCCUGGGCCCACACCCUCUUAAGUAGCUACUCACCUCUAAAGCCAUAGGCUCUAACCCCUUGGCUCUCUGCCUGAGGACUUCUGUGGGUUUUCAGAAGUUUUAGUUUUGAUCAUUCAAAAAGUCAGGCUGAAGAUGCAGAGAUCCAAGGCCAAGCCCCAGGCGGAGCUGCAGGAGUCCAAUCGAAAAGGAAACAAAGGGAUCAGACACCUGCAGCAGAGAAUUUGAAUCAGAUAUCUGAAGUGAGGCUUGCCUGCUUCACCUGCUACGCCCAUCCCCAUUUAGAGCAAGAGAUCUUCAGAGUUUAGU